This 446-nucleotide ribosomal RNA is filed under the name uncultured bacterium. Its description in RNAcentral is "partial 16S ribosomal RNA". It matches the Rfam family "Bacterial small subunit ribosomal RNA", at positions 329 to 792 of the family's 1533-position model. The record is from RNAcentral.
GGCCAGACUCCUACGGGAGGCAGCAGUGGGGGAUAUUGCACAAUGGGGGGAACCCUGAUGCAGCGACGCCGCGUGGGUGAAGAAGCGCCUCGGCGCGUAAAGCCCUGUCAGCAGGGAAGAAAAUGACGGUACCUGCAGAAGAAGCCCCGGCUAACUACGUGCCAGCAGCCGCGGUAAUACGUAGGGGGCAAGCGUUAUCCGGAUUUACUGGGUGUAAAGGGAGCGUAGACGGCGGUGCAAGCCAGAUGUGAAAGCCCGGGGCUCAACCCCGGGACUGCAUUUGGAACUGUGCUGCUAGAGUGUCGGAGAGGCAGGCGGAAUUCCUAGUGUAGCAGUGAAAUGCGUAGAUAUCAGGAGGAACACCGGCGGCGAAGGCGGCCUGCUGGACCGCGACUGACGUUGAGGCUCGAAAGCGUGGGGAGCGAACAGGAUUAGAUACCCCUGUA